RNAcentral lists this transfer RNA (73 nucleotides) under Malassezia sympodialis ATCC 42132. RNAcentral describes it as "tRNA-Val (TAC) (tRNA-Val-TAC-1-1)". It matches the Rfam family "tRNA". From Rfam's summary of the family: Transfer RNA (tRNA) molecules are approximately 80 nucleotides in length. Their secondary structure includes four short double-helical elements and three loops (D, anti-codon, and T loops). Further hydrogen bonds mediate the characteristic L-shaped molecular structure. tRNAs have two regions of fundamental functional importance: the anti-codon, which is responsible for specific mRNA codon recognition, and the 3' end, to which the tRNAs corresponding amino acid is attached (by aminoacyl-tRNA synthetases). tRNAs cope with the degeneracy of the genetic code in two manners: having more than one tRNA (with a specific anti-codon) for a particular amino acid; and 'wobble' base-pairing, i.e. permitting non-standard base-pairing at the 3rd anti-codon position. Lineage: Eukaryota; Fungi; Basidiomycota; Malasseziomycetes; Malasseziales; Malasseziaceae. The record is from RNAcentral.
CAGAGCGUGGUCUAGUGGUUAGGACUCCUCAUUUACACUGAGGCGAUCCCCGGUUCGAUCCCGGGCGUUCUGA